GGGGGAAAUGGCGGUUUUUGUUUAAAGAAAGUUUCAUCAAAGCCUGUUUCGCCCCACCCAGGGCCGUGUCCUGGGCCGGGGGGGGCUGUUGGUGUGACCACCCCAACCCCCGGGGAGGGGACGGCUCCCAGGCGCUCAGAGAGUGACCCCGUCCCCGCUGCCAGCUGUCACUGCUUUAGAAAUGGGGGGCCCCUGGCCAAGGCAGCGGGGGGGGGACACAGCCAUGGGACCCCCCUGGCUGGGUUGUGCUGGUGGCAGAUGGAAUGUGUGGGGGACACCCCCCCCCAUCCCACCAUGGAUUUAUAACGCAGGGGACCCCGUCUCCUGGGGCAGGACCUGCUUUUGGGGGACACCCCCCCCUUCCCGACGCUGCUGCCUUCCUUGGAGCCCCAAAACAGCUGAGAGGGGGUCCCACGCUGCACCCCCCCAGCUGAACCCCCCAAAACCACAGCGUCGCUCCUCUGGUGGCUUGAAACCGCAGAGGGGACAAAUUUGGGGACAAAACGGCACUUUUGUACACCGGGAGGGCAGGGCCCCCCCUUUUUUUGUGGGGGGACGGAUCUGCCGGGCAUCCCGGCGCGGUGUCGGCCCCGGCGUGGCGGCAUCUUUUGUUGCCACGCCGCUGGCUUUGUUCAACGCCGGGGUGGCACGCGGAGGGGGGGACCGUCCCCAGCGAGGGGGGGGGGCGGUCCCCCAACAAGGAGGGGACCCACACAGCUCCGUGAGGCUCCUCCGGGAGUCAGAUCCAUCACCCAGGUCAGACUUUUGCUCUUUUGGGGGGGGGGCUGCUCCCCGCCCCCCCCCAACUCAGCUCUUUGCACCCGGAGGCGGUGACGCCGCAGGUGGCUUUUAUUUUUUGGGGAGGGGGACACACCGUGGGGUGGUGGCACAGGGGUUGUCAUCACCCCAAAAUCUUUCCCCCCCCCAUCCCCGCCCCGGGUCUGGCUGGAGUUCGUCGGCUCCGGAGGUUGGCGCGGGUGUGUUCUCACGCAGGAAAAGAAACGGGCUAUCUUGGGCGAAGUCGUGUCGGUGCCAACAGAAAUACACCCGCCGUAGGCGUCGCACCGCGGCGCCGGCAAAAAAACCCAAAAAACCCCCCCCCAGAUUCUAUUUAAAGCAGAAAAACUUUCUGCUCCCCAUGAGCACCGCGGAGGUCGGAUGCAGAGGGACCCCCCGAAACCCCCGGCCCGGAGAAGCCGCGGUGCCCGUGUCGGGGAUUUGGCUGAACCCCCGUUUCGGNNNNNNNNNNNNNNNNNNNNNNNNNNNNNNNNNNNNNNNNNNNNNNNNNNNNNNNNNNN
RNAcentral lists this long non-coding RNA (1298 nucleotides) under Otus sunia (Oriental scops-owl). Its description in RNAcentral is "lncRNA (ENSOSUG00000010164.1)". The record is from RNAcentral. Lineage: Eukaryota; Metazoa; Chordata; Aves; Strigiformes; Strigidae.